Molecule: ribosomal RNA, 1472 nt
Filed under: uncultured bacterium
Lineage: Bacteria
Description: partial 16S ribosomal RNA
Rfam family: Bacterial small subunit ribosomal RNA
Source: RNAcentral
AGAGUUUGAUCAUGGCUCAGAACGUACGCUGGCGGCACGCCUAACACAUGCAAGUCAAACGCAGUAGCAAUACUGAGUGGCAGACGGGUGAGUAACAUGUGGGAAUCUGCCUUGUGGUUCAGGACAACAUUGGGAAACCGAUGCUAAUACUGGAUAAGCCCUUACGGGGAAAGUUUUAAUGCCAUAAGAUGAGCCCGCAUUUGAUUAGUUAGUUGGUGAGGUAAUGGCUCACCAAGACAAUGAUCAAUAGCUGAUCUGAGAGGAUGAUCAGCCACACUGGGACUGAGACACGGCCCAGACUCCUACGGGAGGCAGCAGUGGGGAAUCUUGCACAAUGGAGGAAACUCUGAUGCAGCGAUGCCGCGUGAGUGAAGAAGGCCUUUGGGUUGUAAAGCUCUUUUGUAGGGGAAGAUAAUGACUGUACCCUAAGAAUAAGGUCCGGCUAACUUCGUGCCAGCAGCCGCGGUAAUACGAAGGGACCUAGCGUAGUUCGGAAUUACUGGGCGUAAAGCGCGCGUAGGCCGUUGAGUUAGUUAAUUGUGAAAUCCCAAAGCUUAACUUUGGAACUGCAAUUAAAACUGCUCGACUAGAGUUUGAUAGAGGAAAGCGGAAUACAUAGUGUAGAGGUGAAAUUCGUAGAUAUUAUGUAGAACACCAGUUGCGAAGGCGGCUUUCUGGAUCAACACUGACGCUGAGGCGCGAAAGUAUGGGUAGCAAAGAGGAUUAGAUACCCUCGUAGUCCAUACCAUAAACGAUGAUUGCUAGAUGUUGGAAAUUUAUUUUCAGUAUCGCAGCUAACGCAUUAAGCAAUCCGCCUGGGGAGUACGACCGCAAGGUUAAAACUCAAAUGAAUUGACGGGGACCCGCACAAGCGGUGGAGCAUGUGGUUUAAUUCGAAGAUACGCGCAGAACCUUACCAACCCUUGACAUGUCUGUCGCGAGUUUAGGAAACUAGACUUUUCGGUUCGGCCGGACAGAACACAGGUGCUGCAUGGCUGUCGUCAGCUCGUGUCGUGAGAUGUUGGGUUAAGUCCCGCAACGAGCGCAACCCUUGUCUUUAGUUGCUACGCAAGAGCACUCUAAAGAGACUGCCGGUGACAAACCGGAGGAAGGUGGGGAUGACGUCAAGUCCUCAUGGCCCUUAUGGGUAGGGCUUCACACGUCAUACAAUGGUGCAUACAGAGGGUUGCCAACCCGCGAGGGGGAGCUAAUCUCAGAAAAUGCAUCGUAGUCCGGAUCGUAGUCUGCAACUCGACUACGUGAAGCUGGAAUCGCUAGUAAUCGCGGAUCAGAAUGUCGCGGUGAAUACGUUCCCGGGUCUUGUACACACCGCCCGUCACACCAUGGGAGUGGGUUUUGCCAGAAGCCGUUAGCCUAACCGCAAGGAGGGCGACGACCACGGCAGGGUUCAUGACUGGGGUGAAGUCGUAACAAGGUAGCCGUAUCGGAAGGUGCGGCUGGAUCACCUCCUU